CACAGUUUAAUUGGUCCACAAAAAAAAGUGGUCAGUGCUAGGUGUGUGACAUAUAUUUUCCGACGUAUUUUUUACCGCUGAACACGUAUCUGAAGUCAAAAUUGGAGGUCAAACUGCAAAAAACGGA
Long non-coding RNA from Cotesia glomerata, 127 nucleotides. RefSeq lists it as uncharacterized. The record is from RefSeq and is a predicted model, not a curated record. NCBI's taxonomy places the organism in Eukaryota, Metazoa, Arthropoda, Insecta, Hymenoptera, Braconidae. The transcript has 3 exons.